Molecule: transfer RNA, 69 nt
Filed under: Triticum aestivum (bread wheat)
Lineage: Eukaryota; Viridiplantae; Streptophyta; Magnoliopsida; Poales; Poaceae
Also listed under: 1 other name
Rfam family: tRNA
About the family: Transfer RNA (tRNA) molecules are approximately 80 nucleotides in length. Their secondary structure includes four short double-helical elements and three loops (D, anti-codon, and T loops).
Source: Rfam by way of RNAcentral
UCCACUACUCAGUUGGUAGAGUAUAAAGCUCUUAACAUUGUGAACGUGGGUUCAAGCCCCAUGGUGGAG